AAAUUUCAAAUCUUCUCGACACAUGUAAUCUUUUGCGAGUUAGAAGAUUUGAUUCCUUAUUUUUUGUUCGUAUUCUUAAAGUUAGUCACGUUUAUAUUAUUUUUCGCUUUGUAACCGUCCCUUUAAAUUUUUAAU
This 135-nucleotide small RNA is filed under the name Arabidopsis thaliana (thale cress). RNAcentral's name for it is "ATSL241200". The record is from RNAcentral. Lineage: Eukaryota; Viridiplantae; Streptophyta; Magnoliopsida; Brassicales; Brassicaceae.